GAUGAACGCUGGCGGCGUGCCUAAUACAUGCAAGUCGAGCGAACGGACGAGAAGCUUGCUUCUCUGAUGUUAGCGGCGGACGGGUGAGUAACACGUGGAUAACCUACCUAUAAGACUGGGAUAACUUCGGGAAACCGGAGCUAAUACCGGAUAAUAUUUUGAACCGCAUGGUUCAAAAGUGAAAGACGGUCUUGCUGUCACUUAUAGAUGGAUCCGCGCUGCAUUAGCUAGUUGGUAAGGUAACGGCUUACCAAGGCAACGAUGCAUAGCCGACCUGAGAGGGUGAUCGGCCACACUGGAACUGAGACAGGGUCCAGACACCUACGGGAGGCAGCAGUAGGGAAUCUUACGCGAUGGGCGAAAGCCUGACGGAGCAACGCCGCGUGAGUGAUGAAGGUCUUCGGAUCGUAAAACUCUGUUAGUAGGGAAGAACAAAUGUGUAAGUAACUGUGCACAUAUUGACGGUACCUAAUCAGAAAGCCACGGCUAACUACGUG
This 497-nucleotide ribosomal RNA is filed under the name uncultured bacterium. RNAcentral's name for it is "partial 16S ribosomal RNA". It matches the Rfam family "Bacterial small subunit ribosomal RNA", at positions 28 to 507 of the family's 1533-position model. The record is from RNAcentral.